This 1458-nucleotide ribosomal RNA is filed under the name Enterococcus durans. RNAcentral's name for it is "bacterial SSU rRNA". It matches the Rfam family "Bacterial small subunit ribosomal RNA". The record is from RNAcentral. Lineage: Bacteria; Bacillati; Bacillota; Bacilli; Lactobacillales; Enterococcaceae.
GCGUGCCUAAUACAUGCAAGUCGUACGCUUCUUUUUCCACCGGAGCUUGCUCCACCGGAAAAAGAAGAGUGGCGAACGGGUGAGUAACACGUGGGUAACCUGCCCAUCAGAAGGGGAUAACACUUGGAAACAGGUGCUAAUACCGUAUAACAAUCGAAACCGCAUGGUUUUGAUUUGAAAGGCGCUUUCGGGUGUCGCUGAUGGAUGGACCCGCGGUGCAUUAGCUAGUUGGUGAGGUAACGGCUCACCAAGGCCACGAUGCAUAGCCGACCUGAGAGGGUGAUCGGCCACAUUGGGACUGAGACACGGCCCAAACUCCUACGGGAGGCAGCAGUAGGGAAUCUUCGGCAAUGGACGAAAGUCUGACCGAGCAACGCCGCGUGAGUGAAGAAGGUUUUCGGAUCGUAAAACUCUGUUGUUAGAGAAGAAUAAGGAUGAGAGUAACUGUUCAUCCCUUGACGGUAUCUAACCAGAAAGCCACGGCUAACUACGUGCCAGCAGCCGCGGUAAUACGUAGGUGGCAAGCGUUGUCCGGAUUUAUUGGGCGUAAAGCGAGCGCAGGCGGUUUCUUAAGUCUGAUGUGAAAGCCCCCGGCUCAACCGGGGAGGGUCAUUGGAAACUGGGAGACUUGAGUGCAGAAGAGGAGAGUGGAAUUCCAUGUGUAGCGGUGAAAUGCGUAGAUAUAUGGAGGAACACCAGUGGCGAAGGCGGCUCUCUGGUCUGUAACUGACGCUGAGGCUCGAAAGCGUGGGGAGCAAACAGGAUUAGAUACCCUGGUAGUCCACGCCGUAAACGAUGAGUGCUAAGUGUUGGAGGGUUUCCGCCCUUCAGUGCUGCAGCUAACGCAUUAAGCACUCCGCCUGGGGAGUACGACCGCAAGGUUGAAACUCAAAGGAAUUGACGGGGGCCCGCACAAGCGGUGGAGCAUGUGGUUUAAUUCGAAGCAACGCGAAGAACCUUACCAGGUCUUGACAUCCUUUGACCACUCUAGAGAUAGAGCUUCCCCUUCGGGGGCAAAGUGACAGGUGGUGCAUGGUUGUCGUCAGCUCGUGUCGUGAGAUGUUGGGUUAAGUCCCGCAACGAGCGCAACCCUUAUUGUUAGUUGCCAUCAUUUAGUUGGGCACUCUAGCAAGACUGCCGGUGACAAACCGGAGGAAGGUGGGGAUGACGUCAAAUCAUCAUGCCCCUUAUGACCUGGGCUACACACGUGCUACAAUGGGAAGUACAACGAGUCGCGAAGUCGCGAGGCUAAGCUAAUCUCUUAAAGCUUCUCUCAGUUCGGAUUGUAGGCUGCAACUCGCCUACAUGAAGCCGGAAUCGCUAGUAAUCGCGGAUCAGCACGCCGCGGUGAAUACGUUCCCGGGCCUUGUACACACCGCCCGUCACACCACGAGAGUUUGUAACACCCGAAGUCGGUGAGGUAACCUUUUGGAGCCAGCCGCCUAAGGUGGGAUAGAU